GACGGAGGGUGCAAGCGUUGCUCGGAAUCAUUGGGCGUAAAGGGUGCGUAGGCGGCUUUUUAAGUCUGACGUGAAAGCCCAAGGCUCAGCCUUGGAAGUGCGCCAGAAACUGGAAGGCUCGAGUGCCGGAGGGGAGAGUGGAAUUCCUGGUGUAGCGGUGAAAUGCGUAGAUAUCAGGAGGAAUACCGGUGGCGAAAGCGACUCUCUGGACGGUAACUGACGCUGAGGCACGAAAGCGUGGGGAGCAAACAGG
RNAcentral lists this ribosomal RNA (253 nucleotides) under uncultured bacterium. RNAcentral describes it as "partial 16S ribosomal RNA". It matches the Rfam family "Bacterial small subunit ribosomal RNA", at positions 524 to 776 of the family's 1533-position model. The record is from RNAcentral.